Non-coding RNA from Physcomitrium patens, 807 nucleotides. NCBI's taxonomy places the organism in Eukaryota, Viridiplantae, Streptophyta, Bryopsida, Funariales, Funariaceae. The record is from RefSeq and is a predicted model, not a curated record.
GCCUGAGGGACAAGUACAUCCAUCAAUAAGCCAAUGAGUUUGAUAAUUCGCCACGCAAGUUAAAUGAACCUGACGACAAAAUGGAUCACACUGUAGCUGAGUAUGAGCAAGAUGGACCAGAUACAAGCAUGGAGGACGCAAACCAGGAUGAUAUGACGCCUCUUAACAGUGAACUGGAGGAGAAGCGCCUGGACUUGCUCACAAGUCUACCGCCAGACUAAUAUGUAAAGGACAGAUGCCAGGUGGGAGAGCUGCUAGAGGUUAAGUAUCGAGACAAAUAGCAUGAAACAAAUGAAGUCCCAGUCGACAGUAUGUUGCAGGCAGAAAUCGACCAGCUGCUUCGUGCGAUGGACUUAGCCAAAGUAGCAGUAACAUUUUGAGGAGAUUUUUUCUGCACUGAGUAAGAACUAUUUUCAGCGGACUAACAGAAGCCAAAUCACAAUCACAUUUGAGUGAUGAGUAUUGCCAGGAGGUCAUCUUGCAUAAAGAUAAACUCAAGGUGGUGCUUCGGGAAGAUGAGCCCCGUAUUAUCUCACUGGUUCGGGAAGUUAUAAGAUUUACCAAGCUCUUGGAGGAAGAGAAAGUUCUGGAGGUGCCAGCCUCAGCAGUUUGCAAUCCAAGCAGCUGAAAUCCUCCACUCUCAUCCAGAAACGAAGAAUACGAAAUUAAAGUAAACAGAUUUAUGAGAGGUGCACUUGCCCUUCGUCGUUUGUCCGGAUGCCAGCGGUUCUUUCACGUUGCCUUGCCUAGAUCAGAAGGUUUUUGCAUUACAUUUAUCACAAGAUUGAUGGCUCCAGUGGUCAAUCG